RNAcentral lists this small nuclear RNA (78 nucleotides) under Loxodonta africana (African savanna elephant). Lineage: Eukaryota; Metazoa; Chordata; Mammalia; Proboscidea; Elephantidae. The record is from RNAcentral.
AAAAAUUUUCAUUCCCUAAUUUUUAUACAAUAAUAUUGGAAAACUUCAGAGAAGAUUAGUAUGGCCCCUGUGCAAGGA